Molecule: ribosomal RNA, 943 nt
Filed under: Chryseobacterium gleum
Lineage: Bacteria; Pseudomonadati; Bacteroidota; Flavobacteriia; Flavobacteriales; Weeksellaceae
Description: bacterial SSU rRNA
Rfam family: Bacterial small subunit ribosomal RNA
Source: RNAcentral
GCCGAGCGGUAGAGAUCUUUCGGGAUCUUGAGAGCGGCGUACGGGUGCGGAACACGUGUGCAACCUGCCUUUAUCAGGGGGAUAGCCUUUCGAAAGGAAGAUUAAUACCCCAUAAUAUAUUGAGUGGCAUCACUUAAUAUUGAAAACUCCGGUGGAUAGAGAUGGGCACGCGCAAGAUUAGAUAGUUGGUGAGGUAACGGCUCACCAAGUCUGCGAUCUUUAGGGGGCCUGAGAGGGUGAUCCCCCACACUGGUACUGAGACACGGACCAGACUCCUACGGGAGGCAGCAGUGAGGAAUAUUGGACAAUGGGUGCGAGCCUGAUCCAGCCAUCCCGCGUGAAGGACGACGGCCCUAUGGGUUGUAAACUUCUUUUGUAUAGGGAUAAACCUACUCUCGUGAGAGUAGCUGAAGGUACUAUACGAAUAAGCACCGGCUAACUCCGUGCCAGCAGCCGCGGUAAUACGGAGGGUGCAAGCGUUAUCCGGAUUUAUUGGGUUUAAAGGGUCCGUAGGCGGAUCUGUAAGUCAGUGGUGAAAUCUCACAGCUUAACUGUGAAACUGCCAUUGAUACUGCAGGUCUUGAGUGUUGUUGAAGUAGCUGGAAUAAGUAGUGUAGCGGUGAAAUGCAUAGAUAUUACUUAGAACACCAAUUGCGAAGGCAGGUUACUAAGCAACAACUGACGCUGAUGGACGAAAGCGUGGGGAGCGAACAGGAUUAGAUACCCUGGUAGUCCACGCCGUAAACGAUGCUAACUCGUUUUUGGGUUUUCGGAUUCAGAGACUAAGCGAAAGUGAUAAGUUAGCCACCUGGGGGAGUACGAACGCAAGUUUGAAACUCAAAGGAAUUGACGGGGGGCCCGCACAAGCGGGUGGAUUAUGUGGUUUAAUUCGAUGGAUACGCGAGGAACCUUACCAAGGGCUUAAAUGGGCAAUGACAGGCUU